CCUACGGGUGGCUGCAGUGGGGAAUAUUGGACAAUGGGCGAAAGCCUGAUCCAGCCAUGCCGCGUGUGUGAAGAAGGCCUUCGGGUUGUAAAGCACUUUCAGUGGGGAAGAAAGCCUUGGGGCUAAUACCCUCGAGGAGGGACAUCACCCACAGAAGAAGCACCGGCUAACUCCGUGCCAGCAGCCGCGGUAAUACGGAGGGUGCGAGCGUUAAUCGGAAUUACUGGGCGUAAAGCGCGCGUAGGCGGUCUGAUAAGCCGGUUGUGAAAGCCCCGGGCUCAACCUGGGAACGGCAUCCGGAACUGUCAGGCUAGAGUGCAGGAGAGGAAGGUAGAAUUCCCGGUGUAGCGGUGAAAUGCGUAGAGAUCGGGAGGAAUACCAGUGGCGAAGGCGGCCUUCUGGACUGACACUGACGCUGAGGUGCGAAAGCGUGGGUAGCAAACAGGAUUAGAUACCCGUGUAGUC
RNAcentral lists this ribosomal RNA (465 nucleotides) under Vreelandella stevensii. RNAcentral's name for it is "partial 16S ribosomal RNA". It matches the Rfam family "Bacterial small subunit ribosomal RNA", at positions 338 to 795 of the family's 1533-position model. The record is from RNAcentral. Lineage: Bacteria; Pseudomonadati; Pseudomonadota; Gammaproteobacteria; Oceanospirillales; Halomonadaceae.